This 293-nucleotide ribosomal RNA is filed under the name uncultured bacterium. RNAcentral describes it as "partial 16S ribosomal RNA". It matches the Rfam family "Archaeal small subunit ribosomal RNA", at positions 455 to 747 of the family's 1478-position model. The record is from RNAcentral.
GUGCCAGCCGCCGCGGUAAUACCGGCAGCUCAAGUGAUGUCCCAUAUUAUUGGGCCUAAAGCGUCCGUAGCUGGCUGCGCAAGUCCGUCGGGAAAUCCACUCGCUCAACGAGUGGGCGUCCGACGGAAACUGCACAGCUUGGGACCGGAAGGCUCGAAGGGUACGUUCGGGGUAGGAGUGAAAUCCCGUAAUCCUGGACGAACCACCGAUGGCGAAAGCACCUUGGAAGGACGGAUCCGACAGUGAGGGACGAAAGCCAGGGUCUCCAACCGGAUUAGAUACCCUAGUAGUCC